UGGCGGACGGGUGAGUAACGGGUGAGAAUCUGGCUCCCGGUCGGGGACAACAGAGGGAAACUUCUGCUAAUCCCGGAGGAGCCGAAAGGUAAAGAUUUAUCGCCGGAGAUGACCUCGCGUCUGAUUAGCUGGUUGGUGAGGUAAAGGCUCACCAAGGCGACAAUCAGUAGCUGGUCUGAGAGGAUGAUCACCCCCACUGGGACUGAGACACGGCCCAGAGACCUACGGGAGGCAGCAGUGGGGAAUUCCCCAAUGGGCGCAAGCCUGACGGAGCAAAACCGCGUGGGGGAGGAAGGGGGUGGGGGUGUAAACCCCUUUUCUCAGGGAAAAACACAAUGACGGUUCUUGAGGAAUAAGCCUCGGCUAACUCCGUGCCACCACCCGCGGUAAUACGGAGGAGGCAAGCGUUCUCCGAAUGAUUGGGCGUAAAGCGUCCGUAGGUGGCAGUUCAAGUCUGCUGUCAAAGACAGUAGCUCAACUACUGAAAGGCAGUGGAAACUGAACAGCUAGAGUACGGUAGGGGCAGAGCGAAUUCCCGGUGUAGCGGUGAAAUGCGUAUAUAUCGGGAAGAACACCGGUGGCGAAUGCGAUCUGCUGGGCCGUAACUGACACUGAGGGACAAAAG
This 625-nucleotide ribosomal RNA is filed under the name uncultured Spirulina sp. RNAcentral describes it as "bacterial SSU rRNA". It matches the Rfam family "Bacterial small subunit ribosomal RNA", at positions 96 to 759 of the family's 1533-position model. The record is from RNAcentral. Lineage: Bacteria; Bacillati; Cyanobacteriota; Cyanophyceae; Spirulinales; Spirulinaceae.